RNAcentral lists this long non-coding RNA (237 nucleotides) under Nicotiana benthamiana. RNAcentral describes it as "long non-coding RNA (NBEN_LNC001514)". Lineage: Eukaryota; Viridiplantae; Streptophyta; Magnoliopsida; Solanales; Solanaceae. The record is from RNAcentral.
CCUUUUAGAAGCAGAUGUCAGAAGCUACAGGCUAUGUUGAGACAUCAACCAGCUGCUUAAACUGCUGAUUCUAAAACUACAGCUGGUAAACAAACUUUAUCCAUGAUGUCGUCGGCAACAAAACAACCAAAAGGAGGGGCUGACCACACAAGAGAACAACAUGAAGACACGAUGAGGGAAGACGAGUUAAGUGAUGAACCUGUCCAGAAUUUAAACGAGCUAAACACUCAAGGAUCU